This is a small nucleolar RNA of Paramisgurnus dabryanus, 210 nucleotides long. RefSeq annotates it as small nucleolar RNA U3. The record is from RefSeq and is a predicted model, not a curated record. Lineage: Eukaryota; Metazoa; Chordata; Actinopteri; Cypriniformes; Cobitidae.
AAGACUAUGCUUUCAGGGAUCAUUUCUAUAGUUUCUAAACUGGGAAAUGUGUUUUGAAAGAGUUGAGUCUCUAGAACCACGAUGAAGAGUGUUGAUGUGCUUCUCUGAGCAUGAAUCAAGGAAUGGUUGCUGAUCAUUAUCACAGAUCAUUGCUAUUGAUGAAUGUUCUUUCAAUUAAAAGUUAUAGUUUACGAGAUGGCGCCUGUGAGU